This 497-nucleotide ribosomal RNA is filed under the name uncultured bacterium. RNAcentral's name for it is "partial 16S ribosomal RNA". It matches the Rfam family "Bacterial small subunit ribosomal RNA", at positions 28 to 507 of the family's 1533-position model. The record is from RNAcentral.
GAUGAACGCUGGCGGCGUGCCUAAUACAUGCAAGUCGAGCGAGCGGACGAGAAGCUUGCUUCUCUGAUGUUAGCGGCGGACGGGUGAGUAACACGUGGAUAACCUACCUAUAAGACUGGGAUAACUUCGGGAAACCGGAGCUAAUACCGGAUAAUAUUUUGAACCGCAUGGUUCAAAAGUGAAAGACGGUCUUGCUGUCACUUAUAGAUGGAUCCGCGCUGCAUUAGCUAGUUGGUAAGGUAACGGCUUACCAAGGCAACGAUGCAUAGCCGAUCUGAGAGGGUGAUCGGCCACACUGGAACUGAGACACGGUCCAGACUCCUAUGGGAGGCAGCAGUAGGGAAUCUUCCGCAAUGGGCGAAAGCCUGACGGAGCAACGCCGCGUGAGUGAUGAAGGUCUUCGGAUCGUAAAACUCUGUUAUUAGGGAAGAACAUAUGUGUAAGUAACUGUGCACAUCUUGACGGUACCUAAUCAGAAAGCCACGGCUAACUACGUG